UUCCUUUCCAUUUCUUUUGCCAGUGCAUCUCUUUCAGCUCCGUUUAGGAGAAGGGUCCACCAACAAUCCUCUCAUUUUCCUCUCCGUAUUUUCUUCAAACACAUAGAGAUUCAGAGACAGGAGCAGAAAAAGAAGAAGAAGAAAAGGGAUGUUUCUUAGCCAGUUGCAGAGCUCUCAGCCAUGGAUAUCACCGCCUCGAGUCCCGAGACUAAAUCUUAUUUCUUCUUCUUCCAGAAAGUGGAAAUCAUUGCCAAACCAAUUUUGGUGGAUCGAGUCUUCUGCUUUAAAUGCACGGAAUUUCAGAAUACACUUUGGUGGAAAUUGGAAGGCCAGUUCUCAGAGGCUGGGGGAUAAGAUGAUUUGUACCGCUUACAUGGAUAACAUAGAUGAUUCAGAUCCCAGGUUCUUUAGAACGAGGCAAAAUAGUGGUGCUCGGGUGAGAAUUAAGUGAACAGAACCUGAUGUGAAAAACUUUAGAUAUGGAUGUUUCGUCUGAAUUUCCUAGUUUGCUUCUUGUUUUUUAACUUGAAUACGGGAACUGGUACCUAUAAGAUGCUGUAUUUGUGUUCUAGAUAGUAUUGAUAUAUUUGGUUCAUGGUUUUUCCUUUUAGCGUAUCUCUGGAGUUCUUAAAAAAAUUAUCAGAAGUCAUACUCAAGCAUACCUCUCUUGCUUAAAUUGAUUGUGGAUGAUUGUGUGUUUUUAGUUGUAAGUUGUAGUAUAUAAGUUGAUGCAAUUCACUUUAUGUGCAGACUUAUGGAGCUGAACUCAUAAUUGGAUCUAUUUCAUCAUAUUACAUAUUCAGAUUAAUGCAAUUAAAUUUUGUAAAUUCAUUGAUAAUGAUGGUUCAAGAUUUAUCCCCCUCUUUGGAUUUGACUUUUGGAGUUAUAAGUUCACCUUUUGCUUGUGUAUCUAAUUCCUUGAGCAAACCCACGCCUCUUGGGCUGGAUGUAUCCUUCCCUCCCUUUCAAGAUCUUCGGUGGAGCCUAGCACGUUUAAUCUAUCUCUUCAAUAUCCAACUGGAAAGAAAUGUGGCAACGUUCUUUAUAGUGCUCCUUGUGGCUUGCUUCUCAUUUGUUGUCAUUGGUGGUUUCCUUUUUUUCAAGUUUAGAGGAAGUAAGCAGUCUCUGGAGGACUGCUUUUGGGAA
This 1146-nucleotide unclassified non-coding RNA is filed under the name Hevea brasiliensis (rubber tree). The record is from RNAcentral. Lineage: Eukaryota; Viridiplantae; Streptophyta; Magnoliopsida; Malpighiales; Euphorbiaceae.